This is a long non-coding RNA of Mus musculus (house mouse), 611 nucleotides long. RefSeq annotates it as predicted gene, 36485. Lineage: Eukaryota; Metazoa; Chordata; Mammalia; Rodentia; Muridae. The record is from RefSeq and is a predicted model, not a curated record. The transcript has 2 exons.
CUCCCUCACCUCCUUGUAGCUCUGGGCAAGAACCAAAGAGGCAGAUUGUCAUGGAGGCAGUCUUGGGAUGAAAGCUUGGCCAUUCUCAGUGCCCUUCAUGGUUGGGCUUUGGCUUUCUGCCCUAUACUUCACUGUCAUUGGGACUCUUUGAAGAAAUUGCCUGUUUCUUCCAGGUGCCAUAUAUGGCCUCUUGAGACCGGGUCCUGAAGAUAUGCCUCUGAGCAAUCUAGAAGACCUUUGGAUAUCCCAGAACCUGCUAUUUAUGUACCUUGGGCCCCAAUUUGCAUCUACGAGUGACCUACUCAUCACAUAGUAAGAAGAUGGAUACCUGCCUAUACUUUCUUGGAUCCAGUGGACUUCCAGGGUCAUGGACACUUCAUUUACAAAACAAGUACAGAAUUAUACGCAGUGAGACAAAUGGCCUACCUCUAGAAAUGGGUGCAACUCUGAAUCUUCAGAACCAAAGACAAGUCUCUUGCUGUUCCUUCUGGCUGCCUCAGACACAGGCAUUGCUUCAGCUGGCUUCAUGUAGGGUUCUAUUGUUAUGUCUAGGUGUCUCCAUCACUGAAGUGACUUAGCUAACUAGGAAAUAAACAAGAGAGAGCAACCUG